UCACCUAAUUGAACAUUCAACAACCUGCAUAUGAAUUCAACCAUUAGAAAAAAUAAAUAAAUUACAUAGACUGGAUGAUGAUAUGAAGGAAUUUGUUCAUACAACACAAACACAAUCUUCUUAAUUACUACUGUAAAUGCGAUUUGAGAACACUACAGAUAUGUAUGUAUAUAUAAAGGUAUGGGGGUUGAAACCAACGAACUUGAGAUUAUUCUCAAGUAAGUUUGCCCCAAGUGUAGAGGUUGGAACGAACAACCUUGAGGAUAUUCUCAAGGCCUCUGCCAUUUCUCCCACCAAAACCAUGAAACUCAAUACUAAGCUAGUCCUCCACAGACCUAGGACAUAUACAGUCUUUGUAAAGGUCACAAACAAACAACACCUCAAAUGUCAGGUGUUGUGAGAAUGAAUAAGGUACACACUAAGCCUAGGGGAAAUCAAGACCAUUACUAAACUGAUCAUGGUUAUGUUAAUCAAUUAGCUAGAGGAUACACUAUACCAACCUGGGUGAAAAUUUGAAAUUGAUAUUUCCACAUAAAGUGCGAUAUUUCUACAUUGGUCUCUCUUAUAUAUAUGUGGAUCGCCUCAUUAUUCAUGUGAGAAAAAACAUUUGGAAACAUCAUUUUUUCCAUGUGAAAAUAUCAAUUUUUUAAACAUAAUAAAUAUCCUUUCACCAGCCAGAUCCAAAUGAUCUACGCACUACUCUCAAUAACCAUCGAAAUCAUUUAAAUGCUAAAAAGCUAGCUAGUUUUCUAUCACAACUAUCAUUAACCACAAAUACAAGCCCAAGUUUGAACUACCUACCUCCAAAAACAAAAGUUAUAUGAUCAGACUUUAGACCUAUAACAACCUUCACAAGCUUAAAAUAUCUUGUCAAAUUGUGUCAAGAGUCUUACUAUGUAUUGCGACAAUUUUGGGUCGAAUUACAAUUGCAAAACAUACUAAUAUAUGGGACUGAAUAUAAUUAUAAGAGGGACCCAUCUAUUACAUAUCUCCAAAAAAGUUACCAUACAUACUUAUCCACGUAACUGGUAAUUAAAAAGUCGACAUAAAUAUCCGCAAUAUAUAUCAUUUUCCUUGUGUCAAUGAUAUGAUACAAUCUAAGUGCCUAAUCCAGGUCAAAUUCAGCUGAAAGUGUUUUAUUUCUUUACUGCUCUUCCCAAUCCGGUCAAGAUGUUGGCUUGCCCUUCACUUGUAGGGGUCCUUACCCCUCUUUUUCAAGGCUUCGGCAAGAGGAUUCCAAAUAAAGCGCCCACCUCGGCCUCAAAGGUAGAGGGGAAUAGAGGGCCAUAUCCGCUCCUAAAGCAGAAGCCAGUCUUGAAGCCGAGCAAUUUAGAAGACACAAAUAUGCUAUUGAUCCUCUAAAAUGAAUUACAUUGGCCAAAAGAAAGAGGGGUGGAGGAGAAGAUAUCAACAUUACCCAGAGAAAGAAGUUAUGCUAGCAUUAAAUAAUUUCUAUAUCUAAAGGAGAAUCUGCACACUAAGGUGGCCUAGCAAUCCAAGGUUGGUUCUCAGUUGGUGGGAAAAUGGACGUCAUUGUCAUGAUGCUCGAGUUUGUAUCUAAGAAAGUAUGUCGUUGCAUAUGUUAGCUACAAAUAACAAUCUGGUUCUAAAUCAUGUUUCAGACUUCAACAUUCAUACAUUUCAAAAUUAAAUACAUAUUUUACAAAAUUUAACAAUCAGCAUGAGUAUCAAUAGCUAGCAGAUGGCAAACCAAAGAACUAGAAAAACUAAGUUUACAAUUUCAACACCAAAAAGUUCCAAAAAAAAUUUUCCCCUCUUCGGUUGAAAAUUGGAAUAUGAAGAAAUUAAGUGAUUAGCCUAUCGUAAUAAGGGCUUUAUCUUCAAAAUUACUUGCCAAUGAAUGCCCCAGACAAUCCUUGAGGAAGCUUUCGAGAAAUAAUCCUAGCAGUGGUUGGCCUCGCAUUGAUUGCUGAGAUGACCAAACCCUAUAAGUAAAUCCAUCACAAUCCAAUUCCAACGUCCUUGUGCACAAUUAGAUUGCAGAAAGAAAACAAUUUAUUAAUUAAAGAACUGCAUUUGUCUAACCUCUUGAAGAACAAUCCUUCUCCUAAACAGCCCACCCUCAUCAUCAUCAUCACCAUCGUUGAAAUCAUCAAAGUAAUCGUCAUCAUCACCAUUGUCGUCACCUUCAUCACCACCACCACCACCACCACCAAAAUUAAUACUUUUACCAAUAUCGCCACCACCUCCACCGAUUACAGUCUAUGAAAUUGCAGAAGUAUUCAAUUUCCCAUGAAUAAAAAAAACAAAGAAAUUAAAUUCAAAUAACCAAUUAAUGAAAAGUUAAGCCUGUUAGUUUUUGAUUUUAUAAUGUUUUGUAUGAUGACUAAUUUAAGUAUAUUAGACGUGUGCAUGGUUCAUGGUUUGUUAUUAUAUUAUUAAAUAUGCAUGGAUUAUGGUUUAUAAAUGGUUUAUAAUAUUAUAAUUAAUAUGCAUGGGUUAUGGUUAUUACAUGAACACUUGUUGCUGAUUUUCUUCCGUUGGUAAGUUGGAAUGUUUUAAAAUCAUUUCAGAUUUGUUUUGGAGUUUUUUAAGCAAGAUUUGAAUUGGAGUUUAUUAAGGAAUGUUGGUAUUUAUAAUUUUUAAUGCUGUCAAAUAUUAUUAGAUGGGUUUAUGUUAUUAAAUGUUUUUCCAGCUGGCCCAAAUUUGGUUCAUCUAUUCUACAGAGUAUUUCGUGGGUGCUAAUUUAUUUAAGGAUAUAUUAUUGCUUGGUGGGGCCCACAAUAGUUAGUGAUAUUUUGGUAUUCUAUUUGAAAAGGAGUCUUACAGAAGCUAUUGGGUCUUAUCUUAUUUUAUCUCCUUUGUUCCUGUUUAAUUCAGUUGACUGGGUAUAGAGUUUCUCUCCUUUAUUUCAGCUAUUUCAAAUUCGUAUAGCUGUUGCAGAUUACAUAUUAUCUUUUUGGUUAUACAUAGCUGCUGAAAUCAUGGAUGGUUUCUAACGGAUUUGAGUUUUCUUAGCUAACAUCUUUUAUAGCCGUUGGGUCUCUUUGUAUAUAGUCUUAUUUUCACAGCUAAGAAUGACAGGGAUACAAGAAGCUAAUUCACGUUGCUAUACAGAGAAGAAUCCUAUUGAGAGCUUUCAUUGUUUAUUUCCAGCUAUUCAUUGUACUGUCUAUAAUUCUUUGUGGCUGGAAAAUAAGAAGUCUAUUGUAAUUUCUUCUAUUAUAUUCAAAGUUCAAAGCUUGUUUGGCUUGAUCGAUCCAGUAGUGGAUAGGGUCUGUUCAAAGAGAGUUUUCAAGGUUGCAGAGGUGCAAAGAUCUCAGUGGUGAGAAAGGUUGCAGAGGUGCAAAGGGGGCAGAGGUGUCCAUCAGUGGAAAGCUUCUUUGUAGCAGGGAGUUCUUUUUAUUGUAUUUAAUUGAAUAUUAAGUUUAAUAAAAAGAAUCUCCAAUCCUAGUUGGGAUUGGACAUGGAUUAGGCCACUAGAUUAGAGGGAUAAAUCAACUUUUGGUACCUGUUCUUGGACACGACUUACAAUUUAGUACCCGAAGUGAAAAAAGUUACAAACUGGUGAUUGUACUCAAAAAGUAUUGUGAUCUAGUGCUUGUACUUUCCAAUUUUUAAAUAAUCGUUAAAAUUGACUAACAGAGUAGAUGGAAAAUUCUGAUGUGGCUUACUCAUCUGACGUGGCUUACUCAUCGGCGCUUACAUUCUGACGGACUCUAGUUUUUCUUCCGCUAACAGAGAGGAUGAGGAGGAGAAGAAGAACCUUCCCCUACCAAAUUAGUGCUACUAUUUUUACAUACAUACAUACAUACUCAUAAUAUCCUACUAGUAGUACUAUCUGUUUAUCUAUCUCUCCUCCCCGCUUGUUCUCUCUCUCUUUAUCUCUCAUUCCUCUAUCUGGGUUUUCUUCUUGUACCCUAGAUCUGAAGCAGCUGUAAUUUGAAUAUCUGCCUAUUGAUAUAUUUUUUAUUGGCCUCUUCGGUUUUGUGUUACGCCGAGGUAAUGUUUCUCAUUUAUUUGCUAAUUGAUAGUCGUAUUAUAUGCCUUUAUGUAUGUAUAUGUAUAUGUAUUUCUCUUUUGACUUUGUGUAUGUAUAUUUUAUGGGAGGGUCUUUCCUGAGCUUAUGGUUUGAUUUUGACUUUUAUCUGCUUUCAGUUAAACUAUUGCUCACUGGGUUCAUUCGAAUUACAUUUGAUUGGAGUGUCUGCUUUAUUUCAAAAAAUCAAUUAUUAAAUAUCCAUAAUUUUGGUAGGUGGUUAAAAAAUUUUCCUGAAUGUAAGUUGCUUAAUUUCCCUUGUUUUCUUAUGUAUGUGUGUUUAGCACGAUGCUUUUUUUUUAUCGGUUCCAAUCAGCAUCAUAUAUAUCUUCAUUGCUAGAGCUUCGACUUCUCAGACAAGGUAGUAAAGGUGGAGGAGGAGCAUAAGGUACGUCAAAUAGAGCAAUCAAUUUCUGCAAAGAGAGUAAUUGAGGAUGAGGUAUGGAAUUUGGGAAAGAAAAGAGACCUUUAUACAUGUGGAAAUACACAUCAAUACAACUUUGUUGCCCAAUCAUCGUCAUGUCAUCUUUUGCAUCUGACCUGUCAAAUUUUCAAACAGAAUAAGGAUGAAACCCUACUAUUUAACGGAGUGUAACAUUUUUUUGAGUACAAUCACUAAUUUGUAACUUUUUUCACUUUGGGUACCAAAUUGUAAGUCGUGUCCCAGUACAGGUAUCAAAAGUUGAUUUAUCCCCUAAAUUAGAGGAUAGGGGCUGAACCACGUAAAAAUCUUGGUGUGAUUUUUACUUCUGUUUAUCUCUUUAACUGUCAUUCACGUUCUGCACUUUUUUGUUCUUCACGCUACUUGAAGUUAUACUAUCCAGACACUAAAGCAGACAGGUCUAGCUGUCUGAUAAUAUUAAACGAAGAACAUAAGCUAAAGCAGACAUUAAAGCAAACAGGUGUAGCUGUCUGAAUUAAACCUGUAGCAUAAAGUUACAAGAAGAUUUCACCGUUUAUCACUUUUAGCUUAAACACCUAUUCACCCCCCUCUAGGUGUGCACAUAUAGAAUUACAUUUGGUAUCAAAGCUUGGCUCAACUAAUAUUGAUCGUUGCAGGUCGUAGGGAAAGAUUCGAUGGCACACCUAAACUUUCAAGAAGGUCAGUCCACAAGUAGGCCACCGCUGUUGUUCGGAAGUGAAAACUUCAACUUUUGGAAGUUUAGAAUGAAGAUUUUUCUUAAAAGAGACCCAUGGGAAUGGUGGGUUGUUGAAAAUGGACCUGUCAUUCCUAGACAUGAUAAUGGCAAACCAAAGGCUCUCACGGAGAUGGAUGCAAACGAAAGCUAUAUGUUUUCCUACAACUCAAGAGCCAUGAACACCUUGCUAAGCGGAAUGGUCCAAGCUGAAAUUGAUAAAGUAACAUCGUGCAACACAGCAAAAGAAAUGUGGGAUACAAUCAUCAUGAGCCAUAAGGGAACUACUAAGGUGAAGGAAGUCAAGCUAAGUAUGUUGAUGCAAGAAUAUGAACUCUUCAAUAUAGAAAAAGAUGAAACAAUUCAAGAAGCUCAAGCAAGAUUCCUCACUCUAAUGAAUUCUCUAAGCAUGCUCGGACGAAAGAUUGAUCAAAAGGAAAUCAACCGAAAGCUUCUUAAAGUCAUGCCCAAACAGUUUGCACCGAAAGUCACAACUCUCCAAGACUCACCAAUAAUUAGUACCAUGGAAACUCUUACCUUGUUUGGAGAGAUUGAAGAAUUUGAAAAUCAACUCAAGAGGUAUGAUGAAGAGGAUGAAGCAUCAAUAAAGAAAACUUUGGCACUUCAAAUCGUGAGCAACAAUGAAAGUGAUCACGAAGAUUUUGAUGAAGAAAUUGAAAUGCUCUCAAGAAAACUCAAGAGACCACUUCAAAGAAAGAAACAAAGGAAAAAUCAAAAAGGUAGCUCAACUCCAGUGAGUAAGUUCAAAACGAAACAAGAAGAAGAAACUGUCCAACUCUGUUUCAUGGGACUAGAAGAUGAUGAUCAACUUGAGGUAACAAAUUUUCAUGAAGCUUUUGAAAUAUCUAUGCCUGAUUAUAUUGUUUUACAAAAUGAAAAUCAACAGCUCAAAAAGAAAACUGCCUAUUUUAAGAAUUGUGUAAAUGAGCUAAUGAAUGAAGUUAAGUCGCUUAUUAAAGAGAGAAAAGAAAAUGAAUANNNNNNNNNNNNNNNNNNNNNNNNNNNNNNNNNNNNNNNNNNNNNNNNNNNNNNNNNNNNNNNNNNNNNNNNNNNNNNNNNNNNNNNNNNNNNNNNNNNNNNNNNNNNNNNNNNNNNNNNNNNNNNNNNNNNNNNNNNNNNNNNNNNNNNNNNNNNAAAAGGACCCAAGAAGAUUUGGGUACCAAAAAGAUAGAGACUAUUUGUUUGUAGGUGUCUCAAGAUCAAAAAGGAGAUGCAUGAUUCUUUACUUUGAGAGAGUAAGUUAACUAUAAAUUAUUUGGCGGAAUCUGUAAGUACCUCAUGUUGUUUUUUAAAUAGAGUUUUAAUUAGAUAUAUUAUUAUAAAAACUCUAUGGAUUUCGUAUUACAAGGGUUCAUAACAUCAUUUAUUAUGUCAAAUGCUCCAUAUUUAAUACACAUGAUAUUCUUGAUAAAAGGUUGAGGAAUAUGUUCAUAUUUUAUUUGAUAAUUUUGACCCUGAUCUGUCAAAAGAAGAGGAUGGAGACUUUGCAGGAAAACAGUUAAAAGAUCUGAAAUUUGGAAAGAAAACAGCUCAAUCCAAACAGCCUAAGCCGUCUGCAUCAAAAGGAAAAACAGAUGAACCAGGAAAACAUGCAAACAUCUAAAUCCAGACAGCUCGACCCGUCUGUUUUUGAAGGCAAAUCAGAUGAAUAAUCUGAUACAAAAUCUGAUAUUCCAGAAAGUUAAUCAGAUGAACAAAUGACCAAUGGCAGUCUUCCAAGAACAACCAUAACAGUGAAAAAUUAUCCUCCUAACCUGAGCUUUAAAGACCUCAACAUUGGGAUGAUCAAAAGAAGUGCUAUUGAAGAGAUUUUUGAUUAUGAAAAUACAAAAUCCAAAUCUACAUUAAGGAGCACAACUAUGAAGCAUUCUACUGGUUACAAAAUGUUGUUAUAUAGGUAACAAAUCACAAAGGUAUGAUCGUAUUGUCUACUUGCUAUAUGUGGUUUUGUUAUAAACUUGCUCCAAUGAUAUUCUUUAUCUUUGCACUUAUUCUUUUAAUGUUGGCAAAUGGGGUGAGAUAACUAUUUAGCUAAAUAGAUAUAAAUUAUUUUUUGUUGAUGACAAAGGGGGAGAGUUACUUGUGCUUAAUGAUUAAUAUGAUUAAUAUGUGGUUUUUUGUUAUAAUGACAAAGGGGGAGAUAUAUAUGAUAUUGAGAUAGUAUAUUAUGCUGGAAUAUGCAAUGAUGGUUAUUUGGAUAAAGUAAUUUUCUUUUGCUCCUUAAUAUGCAUAAAUUUAGGGGGAGCCAUAUACUUAGGGGGAGCAUGUUGGUACAUAAAUUGCCAUCAUCAAAAAUGGCGAGAAUGUUAGUUUUUGAUUUUAUGAUGUUUUGUAUAAUGACUAAUUUAAGUAUAUUAGACGUGUGCAUGAUUCAUGGUUUGUUAUUAUAUUAUUAAAUAUGCAUGAAUUAUGGUUUAUAAAUGGUUUAUACUAUUAUAAUUAAUAUGCAAAGGAUAUGGUUAUUACAUGAACACUUGUUGCUGAUUUUCUUCCGUUGGUAAGUUGGAAUGUUUUAAAAUCAUUUCAGAUUUGUUUUGGAGUUUUUUAAGCAAGAUUUGAAUUGGAGUUUAUUAAGGAAUGUUGGUAUUUAUAAUUUUUAAUGUUGUCAAAUAUUAUUAGAUGGGUUUAUGUUAUUAAAUGUUUUUCCAGCUGGCCCAAAUUUGGUUCAUCUAUUCUACAGAGUAUUUCGUGGGUGCUAAUUUAUUUAAGGAUAUAUUAUUGCUUGGUGGGGCCCACAAUAGUUAGUUAUAUUUUAGUAUUCUAUUUUGAAAAGGAGUCUUACAGAAGCUAUUGGGUCUUAUCUUAUUUUAUCUCCUUUGUUCCUGUUUAAUUCAGUUGACUGAGUAUAGAGUUUCUCUCCUUUAUUUCAGCUAUUUCAAAUUUGUAUAGCUGUUGCAGAUUACAUAUUAUCUUUUUGGUUAUAAAAAGCUGCUGAAAUCAUGGAUGGUUUCUAACGGAUUUGAGUUUUCUUAGCUAACAUCUUUUAUAGCCGUUGGGUCUCUCUGUAUAUAGUCUUAUUUUCACAGCUAAGCAGGACAGGGAUACAAGAAGCUAAUUCACGUUGCUAUACAGAGAAGAAUCAUAUUGAGAGCUUUCAUUGUUUAUUUCCAGCUAUUCAUUGUACUGUCUAUAAUUCUUUGUGGCUGGAAAAUAAGAAGUCUAUUGUAAUUUCUUCUAUUAUAUUCAAAGUUCAAAGCUUGUUUGGCUUGAUCGAUCCAGUAGUGGAUAGGGUCUGUUCAAAGAGAGUUUUCAAGGUUGCAGAGGUGCAAAGGUCUCAGUGGUGAGAAAGGUUGCAGAGGUGUAAAGGGGGCAAAGGUGUCCAUUAGUGGAAAGCUUCUUUGUAACAGGGAGUUCUUUUUAUUGUAUUUAAUUGAAUAUUAAGUUUAAUAAAAAGAGUCUCCAAUCCUAGUUGGGAUUGGACGUGGAUUAGGCCACUAGAUUAGAAUAUAGGGGCUGAAUCACGUAAAAAUUUUGGUGUGAUUUUUACUUCUGUUUAUCUCUUUAACUGUCAUUCACGUUCUGCACUUUUUUAUUCUUCACACUACUUGAAGUUAUACUAUCCAGACACUAAUGCAGACAGGUCUAGCUGUCUGAUAAUAUUAAACGAAGAACAUAAGCUAAAGCAGACACUAAAGCAAAUAGGUGUAACUGUCUGAAUUAAACCUGUAGCAUAAAGUUACAAGAAGAUUUCACCGUUUAUCACUUUUAGCUUAAACACCUAUUCACCCCCCUCUAGGUGUGCACAUACAUAAAAUUACAAAGCCAUUGUACAAAACAAAGGUCACUGAACCCGAUUCUUCAAACCUCUAUAAUCACCGUAAAUAUUUGUAGCAGAACAUCACAAGUUUCUCUUAAAACUGAUCGGAUGUAAAAUCCAGAUUCUCAAGAGCAAAAUCUCCAUAAAGUAAAAUUCUAACAUCCAAAGUGUCCCCCAUAAGCUUCUUUCUCAAGCGCAAUACAGACAGAUCCAAAAUCUUCAAAUCAAUAGUUGUUUAUGGUUGGAACGCAUUUGAGGGUGCAGAUGAUCAAAAGGGAUAUAAGUAAAGUUCGCUUGCUGUAGAUUUAAAUUUUGGCUAUCUGGGACAUCUUGAUUUGCACAUUUCACUUCUUGAAAUAAAUUACUUUAGAAACAAUUUGCACGAUUAAUUAUGCAUGUUUAGUUAUCUUACAUUAAGCGUCAAUAACUUCUCCUAUAGCUUUUCAAACUGGAUCCAAUUCAAAAUGCAAAAGUUUCAAUGACAUAAAAAGGGAAAUUGAUGAACUAAAGCUAAAAGAGUCUCAAGCUUAUAAACCUAAACAGAACAUAAACUUCAACUAAGCAUGGCCAAAAGAUUUAAAUAGCAAAUUGAGUAACCUCAAUCCCGUUAAAGUUUCUCUUUUAUGCCUAUUUCGCAAGUAAAUUUCCACAUAAUACAUUAAAUCAAUAAUUUUGCAAGAAAUACUUUACUAAUUUACUCCAAUUUAUAUCUAUAUGAAACUCAAACCUGCUUAGCAAAAUUUAGCGAAAAAAAAAUUGCUUAGCAAAAGGAAUGGAAGGCACUCUCUCUCUUCUCUCUCUCUCUCACACACACACAAACACAAACUCAUAGAUAAGUUGUAUCUAAUACAACAUACUUCUGAGUUUAAAAAUGGGGAAAAAUCAGAGAAAUUAAAAGGGAGUCUGAAGUUAUCUUCAUUUUGCUUACCUUCGAGUUUUAGUGAAGAAAGAAAGAAAAUUAUCUUCAUAUAUUGUCUCUCACAUUAUGCAUGAUACACACACCAAACAAUGCUUUUAUAGUCACUAGAAAUCCUAGCUCAUGUUCCUAUAACAUGGACUCAAUCACAUGAGGCCCAAUACAUUAGUCAAACCCAAGACCAGGCUACUAAAAAAACCCCAAGUCCAAAUAAACAUUACGCUUGACUAUUGGUCGGAUCCACAGAAGUAUUGAGUCAAUCCCAAAACAUUGUAAUUAAAAGACCUAGUGAUGCAAGUCAUCAUAUCUACCUAACAGCAAGAACUUCCUAAUGCAUAGUCCUGCUCUUUUUGGUCGAGAGUAGAUCCAAUUUUCUCGGAGUAAUUGUUGUAGUUCUUCACGAGGAAUAUGUUUAGUAUUAGUGUUAAGUUGUCGAAUGAAUUGGAAACAAACAUGUUUUCAAGUGCUUGAGAAAGCCUGUUCGGUGAUGAUAUUUCCCUUCUAAGUCAGUAAGUAGAAAUAAUAAGAUAAACAAAUAGAGACAAUAUUCAAGAGGGAAGAACCACAUCUGUAUUCUUCUUUCUUAGCAGUUAUAUUAGGUGAAAUUUAGAAAAGAAUUUUCUAUAUGACAAACAAGUUGAAAACACUUAUAUAUGCUACGCUGGUAAUUCGGCAUUUUAAGAUGAAUCACUCCUAGGCAAAUAUGGAGUAGUAAAUAUAUCAUUACAUAUCAUUUUUUUGUUGUUUGUCUAAAUUAUUCUCCUGGCUGGGCAACAUUUAUAAGUCAAAAACUUUAAAGAAAUAACGAUAUUACUAGCUGUCUUUAAAUGUAUGCACUUUUGUUUUUGUUUAGAUAAUUGUAAUGUAAUUACGAUUGUGGUUGAUUUCACAUGAUGUACUUGGACCUAUCUUUUUCAUAGUAAACAUCAAGUGGCUUCUAUUCUCAAGAAUUUUAUUAGUCAUGUUCAUGCUCAGUUUAAUCACAAUGUCAAGACUAUUAGAUCAGAUAAUGGCACUGAAUUUAAUGAACUUGCUCCUAUUUUUCUUCAUCUUAGUAUUAUUCAUCAAACUUCGUGUGUUUACUCUCCACAACAAAAUGGUGUUGUAGAAAGGAAGCAUCGUCAUCUUUUGGACAUUGCUAGAGCUCUUCGAUUAAAUGCUCACUUACCUAUUCAUUUAUGGGCAGAUUGUCUCUUAACUGCUACAUAUUUGAUCAAUCGAUUGCCUACUAAAGUUCUAAACAAUAAAACUCCAUAUGAAAUGCUUCUUUGGUUCUGCACCUUCUUAUGAUCAUCUUAAGGUCUUUGGUUGCUUGUGUUAUGCUUCAACUAUAGCACAUAACAGAGAUAAGUUCUCUCCCAGAGCAAUCAGAUGUGUUUUUCUAGGAUAUCCUUAUGCUAAAAAAGGAAACAAAGUCUGUGACUUGGAAACCAAAAAAUGUUUUGUUAGCAGAGAUGUUUCUUUUGUUGAGAAUGUCUUUCCUUUUGCAUCUCUUAUAUCUUCUGCUAGUGAUUCUAGUUCUCUAUUUCCUUCUUACAAUUCUUUUUCGUUAACUAUUGAUGAUCCUUUGUAUAUUCUUAUAGUUUUUCCUACUUCUUCUGAGAUUUUUUCGGACAAUGUUUUACAGCUUGUUUCACCUAUAUCUGGUCAUAUUUUUGGUUCUUCUAAUGAGUCUUCAAAUCCUUAUGUGCCACCUGAGUUGCCUAUUACACUUCCUUCUUCCAGACCUACUCGAACUAGAACAUUUUCUUCUAAAUUCAAAGAUUUCGUAGGAUUACCCAAGAAUCUUCCUCAUACUCUUCCUUCUUCUACCACAGUUUCCACUGCUAAUCAUGUAUCUAGAUAUUCUAUGUCUCAUUUUAUUUCUUAUGAUACAUUUACUCCUGCUUACACCACCUAUCUUGCCAACACUGCUUCUAUUGUUGAGCCUUCCACUUAUGAUCAAGCUGUUGUUGAUCCUCAAUGGUGUGAAGCCAUGGUCAAAGAAAUUUCAGCCUUGGAAGCCAAUCAUGGCUUGUCACUGAGUUGCCUAAAGACAAGAAAAGUUGUGGGCAGAAAAUGGAUAUAUAAAGUAAAAUAUAAUCCUGAUGAUACUGUUGAUUGAUUUAAAGCUAGGCUUGUUGCCAAAGGCUUUACGCAGACGUAAGGAUUGGAUUUCUUUUAAACAUUUGCUCCAAUUGCCAAAAUGAAAUGACAACUGUGAGACUUCUUAUUGCCUUUUAAAGGUUGGAAGGUGGAUCUGAUGGAUGUUACUAAUGCAUUCCUUCAUGGAGAUUUAGAUGAGGAAGUAUAUAUGACAAUGCCUCUUGGUUUCUGUAGUUCACAUAAUUCUAAAGGGGCUCCUCUUGUCUGCAAACUUCUCAAGUCUUUAUAUGGACUCGAGCAAACACCUCAAGUCCUCGACAGUGGUUUUUAAAGUUGUCUGCAGCACUAACACAAUUUGGGUUUAAGCAAUCCAACUGUGAUCAUUCUCCAUUCCUUGCUCACUCUUUUUCUGGCUUUAUAGCAUUACUGGUAUAUGUCGAUGAUAUACUUAUCACAGGUUCUAACAAUGUUGCCAUUCAACAAGUCAAGGAUUACUUAGCUACUCAAUUUCAAAUAAAGGACCUUGGUGCCUUUGAAAUACUUUCUGGGUCCUGAAGCUGCUACGUCUCCAAAAGGAAUUUACCUUCAUCAACGAAAAUAUACUCUUGAUAUUUUGAAGGAAGUGGGUCUCACCGAUGCAAAACCCUCCAAAGUUCCUAUGGAGCAAAAUCACAUAUUAUUAUCCAACAGUGUUGAAGAAUAUUAAUGUCUAUCAGAGACUGGUUGGUCGUCUCAUUUACUUGACCAUAACCAGACCUGAUAUUGCAUAUCCCGUUCAUGUUCUCGGUCAAUUUUUGUCUGCUCCCUAAAGUUUGUCAUACGGAUGCAGCUUUAAAAUUGGUUCACUUGAAAUCCUCUCCUGGACAAGAUUUACUCAUGUCUGCAACUGGUUCCCUUACUUUACGUGCUUAUUGUGAUGCUGAUUGGGGUGGUUGUCCUACUACUAGGCAGUCCCUUACAGGCUACUACUGUGUAACACUAGGCUCUUCUCUCAUUUCUUGGAAGAGUAAGAAACUACACAUAGUCUCUAGGUCCUCAGCUGAAGCAGAAGACAAUGCUAUGGCUAAUGUGUGUUGUGAGGUUACUUGGUUGGUUGCUUUAUUAAAAAAAUUUGGCAUCACCUCUGUUCCUCUCUUUUGUGACAACAAAUCUGCUAUAUACAUAGCAUCUAAUCUUGUUUUUCAUGAAUGUACUAAACACAUCGAGAUUGAUUGUCACCUUGUUCGUGAGAAGCUUCAAAAGGGAGUUAGUACAACAGACCAUCUUUUGUCUACAGAACAACUAGCUGAUCUGUUUAUCAAAGCUCUGUCCAGUGAGCAACUUCAGCUUCUACAAUCCAAGUUGGGAGUUUGUCACAACUUGAGGGGGGAUGCUAAGGAUACUAAUGUCAUUAUACACAAUGGCAUUAAUGUAAUAAGUAGUUAAGGACUAGUUAGUUAUGCUGUGUUAGUAUAUAAUGUACUGAAUGUAACUGAUUUUCAGAUUAAUAAAUACUUGCAGUCUCUGUUUUAGCUGUUCUUCAUAUUCUUACAAAAAUGCAAGGAAUGACUGAAGUUAGAUGGAAGCUGAUUAGUCAUUGUUGAAAUGCUUACAAGGAGGAUAACUAAAUAUAGGUAAUUUAGGGGUAUUUGAGGGUUUGAGCCCAAUGAUUUUCUCCCAGGAGGGGGGAUGAUUUUCUCAAUAAAGUCGUUAGUGCAUCAAAUGGACAACUGUAGUCGGGUAGAAAGUUCUUGCUCUGUUUGUAGUGGACAUUAGUUCUAUAUAUAUGCUUUUCUUUAGUAGUUAGUUAAGUGUUUAUAGUUCUGUGCAGGGCCUUAAUUGAAUAAGAAAUUUAGUUGACUUUUGAUAGUUGAUAUUACCAUUACCAUUUCCAUUCCGUUCGGUCGCUUCACUUCCCUCACUCCGCUCCGCUCGGCACCGGCCUUUUUCAAGAACUUCUCAGUACCUCUCAUACACACCAUAUGAGCAGAUGUUCCAACAGUUGAUCAGUUUGACUCUAAAGAAGAUCUCAUUAAUGCAGUCAUCACAUCUUCCUUUAUUAUCAGAGUAGUGUAGGUAACGACACUCCGAACAAAUAUUUUCAAACUUAAAAUUAAUAUUCUUGAUAAUAUCAUUCAUGAUUUUUUACUCAAUUUCAAAUAUUUUCAAACUUAAAUUAAUAUUCUUUUAAAAAAAAUAAAAUUUUACAUUAAUAUAUAUAAUUUUAGUCAAUAUAAGUCGAUUGAUAUUGCUAAGAGUAAAAAUGUUGUUAUCAUUUAAAGUUUUAAGUAUCCUUAAAACAAAUAUAAAAGUAUUGCUAAAUUUGUAUUUGCUCUGACAUUAUAAUUUUUACUCUGGCAAUAUCAAUGGAUCAAUGUAAUGACGAAUGUUAUAAAUCAUCUACAUAGUAUUUUUAACUACAAAUUUUAUUGUUUAAUUUUUUUUAAUAAGUUUGGCUCUUUUAAGUUUGAAAAUGUCAAAAGUUGACUUUCAAAAGUCAAUAAUGAUAUCUUAAAAUUUGGAUUUGGCUCCCUCUGUUACAGAUUCCCUCCAAUUCGACCUAAUAUAUCAAUUAUUUAAUUUUAGUAAUUUUGUUACUAAUGAUCAAAAUAUAUUAAUAAAUAGUUGAUGAUAUUAAGAUUAAUUCUACCAAAAAUUGGAAUCAUUAAAUAAGAUUUAAUGAAAUUUUUUUAUGUUCAUUAAAUGGUGAAAAGUGUCGGAUUAUUUUCAAUUUUGGAAGAAUUAUACUACUCAACCUUAUAUCAUUAAUUAAUUGAUCAGUGUUGAUUUCAAUUAUACUAUCCAAAAUUAUAAAAACAUGGCAAAUUAGAUAAAGUUAAAUAACAAGUGUGAUGCAAGGAAACCGUCUUUAAAAUUUGGAACUAAGAGAGUUAUUUAAUAAGUCUCGCCAUUCUCUUCUUGAUUUGGGUAGAAAAUUUUGAUAGAAAAUUUGCACUCUCUCAUUUUCCUUUUUUUCCCUUUUGGGGACAUGAAAUUUUAUCUCCCUAAUUUUUCUUAUUUUUUUUCUUUUCUUUUUUAAAGCUAGUACAUGUUUUGUUAAACUGUGUUGUGAAUUUUAAAAAUGAGAGAAAAGAAAAGAGAAUGAGUGAAUUUAGUAAAAGAUUAAAAAUCACUUAUUUGUUAAAAACUUAGUCAACACAUUAAAAUACCAAAAAUAUCUAAUAUAUAAGACCGGAGGACCGACUGUGUUGUUAAUAUUUUUUUUUAGCAUUUACAUUAUUUUUUUAUCGUUUUAUUUAGACCUCCAAGUUUUAUGAUAAAAUAAAUUUUAUUUUACCCACAUAAUUUACACAUGCAACCCGGAUACAAUAAUAAUAUAAUGUUUUAAGUUUAAAUUUCAUUCCAAAAAAGAAAAAGAGUAAAUUACACUUCUCUACCUCUCUUUUCUCCUAUUCCCCGUGUUAAAAUAAGGCCCAUCCCGGUGCAAUAUUGGUCAUAAGAAUUUUGACAACAUCGGAUGCACAAAUGGUGCAAUGUUUGAUUGCAACAAGUACAGUGGUUCGUUCAAAUGCGCAACUGCUGUUAUACAUAACUAUUUUAUGUCGACAGAUGAUGUGAACUCUGAGUCUUCCAGAUCGAAUUGUUAUUAUCAAAUACUUGCUUGGUAAAACAAUUCAUUCUAAAAACAUCCACGAGUAAAUAGUGUUUAACUGACAAGCUAUAAAGUUUACUUGCAAAGAAGAGAAUAAAAACAAUUUAGAUAUGAUAUAUUGACAUGUAAUUGCAUUGUAAUCAAAAGAUUUAGUGAUGCAAGUCGUCAUAUUUACCUAACGGCAAGAACUUCCUAAUGCAUAGUCCUGCUCUUUGGAUGAGACUUUAUCCAAUUUUCUCGGAGUAAUCGAUAACAGACAUGAAUUCAAGUGCUUGAGAGAGAAAGCAGAGAUGUGGUUGUUCAGUGAUUAUAUUUCCCCUGUAAGUCAAUAAGUAGAAAUAAUAAGAUAAACAAAUAGAGACAAUAUUCAAAAGGGAAGAACCACAUAUGUAUUCUUCUUUCUUAGCAGUUAUAUUAGGUGAAAUUUAGAAACAAAAUUUUCAAUAUGACAAACCAAGUUGAUAACACUUAUAUAUGCUACGCUGGUAAUUCGACCUUUUAAGAUGAAUCACUCCUAAGCAAAUAUGGGGUAGUAAAUAUAUCAUUUUUUUAUUGUUUGUCUAAAUUAUUCUCCUGGUUGGGCAACAUUUAUAAGUCAAAACUUCAAAGAAAUAACCAUAUUACUACAGUUGCCUCUAAAUAUAUGCAUUUGUUUUGUUUUUGUUCUCAUAAUUGUAGUGUAAUAAAGUUCAUAAUGGGACACACAUCAUGUAUACACAUAACAUAAAAAGACUAAAAUGAUCUCCCAAAAAACUUACAUGCAUCCACAAAAAAAAAAAAGCAACGAUCAACUGGAAAGGGUGAAUCCAAGCUUUCUAUCCGUUAAAUGAUCGAUUAAAAGUUUCACAAAAGUGACAAGCUAUGUUGUUUAAACCAAAAGAAAAGAAGGUUCAAUAUUUACUUACUUCUUCCAAUUAUAAAAAUAAAAUAAAAAAUUGUAUACCGGGGAUAUGAAGCUCAACUUCUGAUUAUACCCUCAUAGCAAACCACUUCAAGCCCAAUGGGACUAUUUAGAGUCUAAUAUUAAAUACAACAUGCCCAUAGAUAAAGGUAGCUCUAUGUUUUGAACUCUAUGUUUUGAAGUCAAGUAUGAUUUAGGGUAAAGCUAGGGUCUCAAAUAGUGUCUCAACUCUCAAAUGAUAGUGUCAUCAUUACAUUAGUUAAGUUCAAUUCUUACGUUGGCCAAGUCGUAAAGUACCACCAUUUGCCUUAUUCAAUGUCACAUCACUUAAACGCAUGAGACCACUAGCAUUAUCCAUGAUUACAUGAUGAUUUGAAUUUCUUCUUUAUUGAUUUGUCUCCAACAUAUCAGCAUUCAUUCCCUCCCUCAGCCCAACCUGGCCAAGAAC
RNAcentral lists this long non-coding RNA (16856 nucleotides) under Panax ginseng (ginseng). Its description in RNAcentral is "long non-coding RNA (PGIN_LNC011772)". The record is from RNAcentral. Lineage: Eukaryota; Viridiplantae; Streptophyta; Magnoliopsida; Apiales; Araliaceae.